UACAGAGGGGGCAAGCGUUGUUCGGAAUUACUGGGCGUAAAGGGCGCGUAGGCGGCCUUCUAAGUCGAACGUGAAAUCCCCAGGCUCAACCUGGGAACUGCGUCCGAUACUGGAUGGCUUGAAUUCGGGAGAGGGAUGCAGAAUUCCAGGUGUAGCGGUGAAAUGCGUAGAUAUCUGGAGGAAUACCGGUGGCGAAGGCGGCAUCCUGGACCGACAUUGACGCUGAUGAGCGAAAGCUAGGGGAGCAAACAGG
RNAcentral lists this ribosomal RNA (253 nucleotides) under uncultured bacterium. RNAcentral's name for it is "partial 16S ribosomal RNA". It matches the Rfam family "Bacterial small subunit ribosomal RNA", at positions 524 to 776 of the family's 1533-position model. The record is from RNAcentral.